Molecule: small RNA, 30 nt
Filed under: Bombyx mori (domestic silkworm)
Lineage: Eukaryota; Metazoa; Arthropoda; Insecta; Lepidoptera; Bombycidae
Description: ovarian small RNA-12840
Source: RNAcentral
CAAGCUCCAGACCAGGCCGUGAACGCCGUC